GGGGCUAUCGUCUAGCUUGGCAGGAUACCAUCCAAUUUUUGGGUAUAAGCCCGGGGCGCUGGCGGUCGAGGGUUCGAAUCCCUCUGGCCCCA
This 92-nucleotide transfer RNA is filed under the name Candidatus Nitrosocosmicus oleophilus. Its description in RNAcentral is "Candidatus Nitrocosmicus oleophilus tRNA". It matches the Rfam family "tRNA". From Rfam's summary of the family: Transfer RNA (tRNA) molecules are approximately 80 nucleotides in length. Their secondary structure includes four short double-helical elements and three loops (D, anti-codon, and T loops). The record is from Rfam by way of RNAcentral. Lineage: Archaea; Thermoproteati; Nitrososphaerota; Nitrososphaeria; Nitrososphaerales; Nitrososphaeraceae. RNAcentral also lists the same sequence under 1 other name.